GCUCCGUAGGUGAACCUGCGGAGGGAUCAUCACAGAGUUCAUGCCCUACCGGGUAGAUCUCCCACCCUAUGUUAUUAUUACUUUGUUGCUUUGGCGGGCCGUUAGGCUCCGGCCCGACUACCGGCCCCGGCUGGUAAGCGCCCGCCAGAGGACCCAAAACCCUGAAUAUUAGUGUCGUCUGAGUACUAUAUAAUAGUUAAAACUUUCAACAACGGAUCUCUUGGUUCUG
RNAcentral lists this unclassified non-coding RNA (229 nucleotides) under plant metagenome. Its description in RNAcentral is "partial contains small subunit ribosomal RNA, internal transcribed spacer 1, and 5.8S ribosomal RNA". The record is from RNAcentral.